Molecule: small nucleolar RNA, 106 nt
Filed under: Olea europaea subsp. europaea
Lineage: Eukaryota; Viridiplantae; Streptophyta; Magnoliopsida; Lamiales; Oleaceae
Description: Plant small nucleolar RNA R71
Rfam family: Plant small nucleolar RNA R71
About the family: R71 is a member of the C/D box family of snoRNAs containing the C (UGAUGA) and D (CUGA) box motifs. Multiple nearly identical copies of this snoRNA have been identified in Arabidopsis, and it is thought to function as a 2'-O-ribose methylation guide for 18S ribosomal RNA.
Source: Rfam by way of RNAcentral
AGCUCAUGUUGUGGACAUCGUCAAAGAAGAACUUUGCAUCUUCACAUGCUUCAUAAUAGCACUCUGAAUCAAACUGUGAGAAUGUAGUGAUCUCAUCUCUCAACUU